RNAcentral lists this ribosomal RNA (679 nucleotides) under uncultured bacterium. Its description in RNAcentral is "bacterial SSU rRNA". It matches the Rfam family "Bacterial small subunit ribosomal RNA", at positions 8 to 692 of the family's 1533-position model. The record is from RNAcentral.
AGAGUUUGAUCCUGGCUCAGGAUGAACGCUGGCGGCGUGCUUAACACAUGCAAGUCGAACGAUGAUCCGGUGCUUGCGCCGGGGAUUAGUGGCGAACGGGUGAGUAACACGUGAGUAACCUGCCCUUGACUCUGGGAUAAGCCUGGGAAACUGGGUCUAAUACCGGAUAUGACUCCUCAUCGCAUGGUGGGGGGUGGAAAGCUUUUUGUGGUUUUGGAUGGACUCGCGGCCUAUCAGCUUGUUGGUGGGGUAAUGGCCUACCAAGGCGACGACGGGUAGCCGGCCUGAGAGGGUGACCGGCCACACUGGGACUGAGACACGGCCCAGACUCCUACGGGAGGCAGCAGUGGGGAAUAUUGCACAAUGGGCGAAAGCCUGAUGCAGCGACGCCGCGUGAGGGAUGACGGCCUUCGGGUUGUAAACCUCUUUCAGUAGGGAAGAAGCCCUCUUUGGGGGUGACGGUACUUGCAGAAGAAGCGCCGGCUAACUACGUGCCAGCAGCCGCGGUAAUACGUAGGGCGCAAGCGUUAUCCGGAAUUAUUGGGCGUAAAGAGCUCGUAGGCGGUUUGUCGCGUCUGCUGUGAAAGACCGGGGCUCAACUCCGGUUCUGCAGUGGGUACGGGCAGACUAGAGUGCAGUAGGGGAGACUGGAAUUCCUGGUGUAGCGGUGAAAUGCGCA